This 1314-nucleotide ribosomal RNA is filed under the name Triticum aestivum (bread wheat). Its description in RNAcentral is "partial small subunit ribosomal RNA". The record is from RNAcentral. Lineage: Eukaryota; Viridiplantae; Streptophyta; Magnoliopsida; Poales; Poaceae.
AUGGGGAAGUCGUCCAUGUCAAGAUCCCUGUUGGGAAGAGAUGUGGCUAAAUUACUCCUGUCAGUGCAUAUUCAGGCCUUCUGCCGAGCAAGCUCUGCAACUGCUGCAAGGGACCUUUUUUUUGGUGGUCAGAAUGUGAGCCUUUCACGGGGAAGAAGCCCUUUGAACAAACAAACUCAUGUUAAUUCUUGCGUACCGAACUUCUAUAAUGCCUUGAGUUGUAUAUAUACUAGAGAGGAAGGCAGUGAUCUAUUUACUGUGGAGUUCAUAUUUGGAGGAUUUUUCCUUGGCGGUGGAAGCAGCAGGGCAUAUCUGAAUGGCCGCAAGCCAGGUAUGCAAUUGAAUGAAGGUGGGCUGAAGUUGUUGUCGAGGAACAAUGACACAAACAUUAUUAGGGAAGUGGUCAGAGAGGGGUACAAAUAUCUCAUGUUUUACCUGGAUCAUGAGGACAACUAUGGUGGAGGAGGAUGGGAUGAUGCGGUUUCAAACCCUUUUACUCGUCAGAGAGAGGAAAAUAUCGUUGAGCCUAGCUUUGUUGUCCCAGAGGAGAAUAGAAGUGAGGUAAUGUAUACAGGUGAUAGCACUUGUGAAGGAACAAGUAGUGGCAGUAGAAGAAGCAGAAGAGCAGUCGUAGAGGAGGAAGAUGACGAAGGCUCUUGGUCAGAUAGUGAUGACUCUGAUUAUAAUCCGGAAGAGCUUGUGGACAGUGACUAUGACCUGCAGGAUGGGGAUGAGGAUUUGGUGAUGGAUGAGUCACAUGUUGCUGAUGAUGAGAAGAAGGGUAAAAGGAAAGGGAAGCAGGUAGCUGAAGAUGACAAUUCUGAAGAUGAAAAGCUUGAAAUGCCAGAGUCAGAUGACGAGGAAAUGAAGUUUAAGUUCAAUCAUUUCACAGAAGAAGAUUUGCAUGAGCCGAAGUUUCAUGUUGGGCAGGUAUUCUCGUCAAUAGAAUUGAUUAGGAAGGCAAUUAGGGAGUACAGUUGCAAGGAGAGACUUGGCAUAACAUUUGGAAAGAGGAAAGAGGAAGCGGUGGCAAAAAAGCUGGAGAAAGAGGAGAAACGGAAAGCUUUGUUGCAACAAAAACAAUUGGAUGCUGAAGAAAAAAGAAAAGCAGUCGAGGAAAGAAAGCAAAAGGCACAACAGGAAAAAGAAGCAAAAAAAGCCCUGGCAGAUGCCAAAAGCAAGCUAUACAAGCUAAAAAGAAACAGGCCGAGGAAGAAAAAAAUAAGAGAGUUGCAGAGCGAACAAGAAUUGCAGAGCAGAAGAGAAAACAUGUUGAAGAUGCGCAUAGAUAUGAAGAAGCGCAAUUUCUGUUAA